This 253-nucleotide ribosomal RNA is filed under the name uncultured bacterium. RNAcentral's name for it is "partial 16S ribosomal RNA". It matches the Rfam family "Bacterial small subunit ribosomal RNA", at positions 524 to 776 of the family's 1533-position model. The record is from RNAcentral.
AACGUAGGGGGCAAGCGUUAUCCGGAUUUACUGGGCGUAAAGCGCCCGUAGGCGGCCUGACAAGUUGGACGUGAAAGCUCCUGGCUUAACUGGGAGAGGCCGUUCAAAACUGUCAAGCUAGAGUCUGGAAGAGGAGAGCGGAAUUCCCGGUGUAGUGGUGGAAUGCGUAGAGAUCGGGAGGAACACCAGUGGCGAAAGCGGCUCUCUGGUCCAAAACUGACGCUGAGGGGCGAAAGCGUGGGGAGCGAACGGG